CCUACGGGUGGCUGCAGUGGGGAAUCUUGCGCAAUGGGCGAAAGCCUGACGCAGCAACGCCGCGUGCGGGAAGAAGGCUUUCGGGCUGUAAACCGCUUUCAGCAGGAACGAAAAUGACGGUACCUGCAGAAGAAGGAGCGGCCAACUAUGUGCCAGCAGCCGCGGUGAUACAUAGGCUUCAAGCGUUGUCCGGAUUUAUUGGGCGUAAAGAGUUCGUAGGCGGUCGAGUAAGUCGGGUGUGAAAAUUCUGGGCUCAACCCAGAGACGCCACCCGAUACUGCUUAACUUGAGUUCGAUAGGGGAGUGGGGAAUUCCUAGUGUAGCGGUGAAAUGCGCAGAUAUUAGGAGGAACACCGGUGGCGAAGGCGCCACUCUGGAUCGACACUGACGCUGAGGAACGAAAGCAUGGGUAGCAAACAGGAUUA
RNAcentral lists this ribosomal RNA (425 nucleotides) under uncultured bacterium. RNAcentral describes it as "bacterial SSU rRNA". It matches the Rfam family "Bacterial small subunit ribosomal RNA", at positions 338 to 780 of the family's 1533-position model. The record is from RNAcentral.